GCCCAUCGCUGGCACACAAACACACGUGCACGCGCGCACCGAUUUUGUUCUCGCUUCAGCAGGCACCGCGCCCCUCUCUCUCUUCGUAUUUCUUAAGUCUUCUGUAAACCUCUAACGGGCCAAUAUCACUUCCAUCGCGACGGCAUCGCUGAAAAGCACACACAGACACUGUGGAAGAUCUCCACACACGGCAAGGUCUCGUCGCUCGCCUCCCUCCCCCCUCUGAGUGUGUCACGAAGAGCGCAGUUGGUCGUGCCGGUAGUCAGCUGGCCUCACUCUGAUUAACAACUAAACUUGCAUCCCUUCCCACCUCUAACUAAGCCCUUUUCACAGCGAGAAAGAGCGAGCGUAAGCUGCUGUUUGGCGCGCCUUUAAUCGCUACCCUUCACACGCCUCUCAAACAAACACACACACACACACACGCAGAGAGAGAGAGACCCUUCCCUGCGUUCUUGGCGCCCAUCUCACAUCCGUUCUGCAUCCCCCCUCCCCCGCUAUACGCUGUCGACCAGAGUGACGAUGCGUACGUCCGACGCGCUCCUGCAGCAAAUCGGCGCGACCUUUGCGGUGCACUACCACACCACACUCGUGAAAGCCCCGGAGACGUUGGCGGCCCUCUACACCCCCUCGGCGCAUGUUGUGCACCGCUUCGAAAAGGCGAACGGCGCCGCCGAGCUAUCCUCGCUGCUCACGUCCCUCACCGCUGAGGGCCUGACGGGAGUGAGGCUCGAGGACGUCAUGGCCGUGCCGACCACCUCCGGCGCAAUCAAGGUCACGAUGAAGGGCCAGUUCGUCAGCGCCGACAACACUCAGUCCUUCACUCAGGAGGUGGAGCUGAGUGAGCUGGAGAAGAAUACGUACGGCAUCAAGAGCGAUAAGCUGAGCUACUCGGCUGUUGGGCAGACGGCGUGGGCGGCCGAGACGCCGGUGCUGAAGGCGGCCGCGGAGCCGGCAGUGGUCCCUGCUGCUGCUGCUGCUGCUGCUGCAGGGGAGACGCCGGCUGCGGGCUCUGCGGCCCCUGCCAAGAGCGCCGAUGUUUGUGAGACGGCAGCGCCCGCGCCUGCCGCUGACGCCACCGCCAACCCACCGGCGGACCAGGCGGCAGCGCGGGCCCCGGCGGCCAACAAGAAGCCGGCAAGCUUUGCAGAGGCGCUGCGCCUCAACAAAGCGAGUGAGGGCGCCCCCUUUUCCAACACGGCGGUGCGUGUGACGGACAAGGUGAAGGGCGCUGGGGAGAAGGGCACUGGCAAAGGUGCGAAGAAGGACAAGGCCGCCUCGCCCUCAGCGGCGUCUGCCAAGCCAAAACCGACCAAGAAAGCGCACAGCACGCCCGACUCGGUGAUCUACUACGAUAUCAUCCUGAAGGAGCUGCCGGCGUCGACGACGGAGGAGAAAGUGCGCGCUGUAGUGACGCCGGUAGCCGCUGUGAAACUUGUGAACAUCGUCAAGAGCGAGAAGCGUCGCCGCAGCAAGGAGGCCGCGUCGGAGACGAUUACGUUUGCCUUUGUGCAGCUGGAGCGCCCCGUUGACGCCGCUGCCACCUACGUGAAGAACGUCGUCGCGAAGCUGACGGAGAUGAACAAGGAGAUGCGCAUAGAGGAGGUGCGUGAGAAGCCGGCCUCUGCUGGGGCUCGAAGGACGCGGGAGGGCGCUGCGGCGUUGCGGAAGAAGGAGGUGAAGGCAUGAGUACCUGCUGCACGACAAGAGAAUGCCUCUGUGCCAGGGUGUGUGAUGCGCGGAUGUGUUGUAUGAAGGGCCCGGGCCUUUCUUGCCGUUUCGCCGUCGCACCUCCUUUUGUUUUUCUUUUGUGUGUUUCCUGCCUCUCUCUCCGCCAUUCGUGGGCCCACGUGGGUGGUGUUGAUGGUGUUGACGGCGGAGGCUGUGCAUUAAUGCCUUCUCGCUCUUGUUUUCUUUUUUUUUGCCUUUUAUUUUUCACUAACGGUGCGUGUACGCUUGUGCUUCGUGCUUCCGCUUCUUCGUUUCUUGACACCCGUCCCCCUCUUGCCCCUGGCUCAGCGUUGCGCGUGUGGCCGUCUGCGCGCCCCCUCUCUGGCUCUUAUAAGGUCUUGCGCGGUGAUGUGUGCAUGUGUGCCCCACCCCGUGUUGUGGCGGUUUUGUGUGCGGCAUGGCGCGACGUUACUUGUUGUUGCUCUUCCGUGUCUCUUCAUAUGGCGUGGCCUUCCCUUCCCUGUGAUGCAAUGAACGAAAGGGACCAAGGAAAGGGCGAGCGCAACGCCGAGAAAAGAUGGCCGGUCGUUUGGUUUCGCGUGUGCGCGCAUGCGUGUGCCGGCGUGUACGUGUGCACGUGCACUUGUGUGUGUGUGUGUGAUGUGCGCAAGGCAAGGACAGAGAACAGAAAAAAAAUGGGGUGGUGCGGCGGCGAUCAUCGAAUAACGUAAGGAGAGCAGCGUAAAAGCAUCCAGCAAGUGUUAAUAUAUGAGUAACCACAAAGCAGCGAAGAAAAAAGCGUUCACGUGAUAAAACGAAAAACCAACCAGAGGAGGACGUGGAGGAGGCGUCUGCACGGUCGUGCGCAUGUGCGUUAUUGGGUGUAUGGGAUGCGCGUGCGAGGGAAUGAAUCGACCUGUCGAUGCAGAACGGUGAUGCGCCAUCGCUAUUCUUAUUUUUUUUUUUCAGCGCCUCUCCAUUCUUGUCCCUCUCCCUCACACCGUGUUCGUCUUUCGCGGACUGUUUCUCUCGUGCACCCGCUCCACCUUUUGCUAGCGCUGUGCAGAUGGUCUUGACGUCUUUUUCAUUCCGAGUGC
This 2765-nucleotide unclassified non-coding RNA is filed under the name Leishmania donovani. Its description in RNAcentral is "gene:LdHU3.18.0380(CDS-product:Nuclear_transport_ factor_2_(NTF2)_domain_containing_protein_putative)". The record is from RNAcentral. Lineage: Eukaryota; Euglenozoa; Kinetoplastea; Trypanosomatida; Trypanosomatidae.